AAUCAACGCUGGCGGCGUGCCUCAGACAUGCAAGUCGAACGAUUAAAGCUCUCUUCGGAGAGUGCAUAGAGUGGCGCACGGGUGAGUAACACGUAAGUAAUCUACCCUCGAGUGGGGAAUAACGUCCGGAAACGGACGCUAAUACCGCAUAAUGCAGCGGCACCGCAAGGUGACAGUUGUUAAAGGAGAAAUUCGCUUGAGGAGGAGCUUGCGGCAGAUUAGCUUGUUGGUAAGGUAACGGCUUACCAAGGCUACGAUCUGUAACCGGGCUUAGAGGACGGUCGGUCACACUGACACUGAAUAACGGGUCAGACUCCUACGGGAGGCAGCAGUCGGGAAUUUUGGGCAAUGGGCGAAAGCCUGACCCAGCAACGCCGCGUGAAGGAUGAAGUAUUUCGGUAUGUAAACUUCGAAAGAAUAGGAAGAAUAAAUGACGGUACUAUUUAUAAGGUCCGGCUAACUACGUGCCAGCCGCCGCAGUAAU
This 484-nucleotide ribosomal RNA is filed under the name uncultured bacterium. RNAcentral's name for it is "bacterial SSU rRNA". It matches the Rfam family "Bacterial small subunit ribosomal RNA", at positions 32 to 524 of the family's 1533-position model. The record is from RNAcentral.